Molecule: ribosomal RNA, 373 nt
Filed under: uncultured bacterium
Lineage: Bacteria
Description: bacterial SSU rRNA
Rfam family: Bacterial small subunit ribosomal RNA
Source: RNAcentral
AGAGACUGCAAGCGUUAUUCGGAUUCACUGGGCGUAAAGGGUGCGCAGGCGGCCGUGUGUGUUAGAUGUGAAAUCCCGGGGCUCAACCCCGGAACUGCGUCUAAAACUACAUGGCUAGAGUAUUGGAGAGGGUAGCGGAAUUCACGGUGUAGCAGUGAAAUGCGUAGAUAUCGUGAGGAACACCAGAGGCGAAGGCGGCUACCUGGACAAUUACUGACGCUCAGGCACGAAAGCGUGGGGAGCAAAAGGGAUUAGAUACCCCUGUAGUCCACGCCCUAAACGGUGCACACUAGGUCUUGGCGGAUUCGACCCCACCAGGGCCCAAGCUAACGCGUUAAGUGUGCCGCCUGAGGACUACGGCCGCAAGGCUAAA